RNAcentral lists this ribosomal RNA (2341 nucleotides) under sediment metagenome. RNAcentral describes it as "bacterial LSU rRNA". It matches the Rfam family "Bacterial large subunit ribosomal RNA", at positions 810 to 2925 of the family's 2925-position model. The record is from RNAcentral.
UGUGGUUAGAGGUGAAAUGCCAAUCGAACUCGGAGAUAGCUGGUUCUCCUCGAAAUAGCUUUAGGGCUAGCGUCAAUUCAAUUAGCCAACGGGGGUAGAGCUCUGUAAAGGACUGGGGGGAGCAAUCCUACCCACCCUUAACAAACUACGAAUACCGUUGGUGGUACAUUGGCAGUUAGAACGUCGGGGCUAAGCUCGGCGCUCGAAAGGGAAACAGCCCAGACCAUCGUCUAAGGUCCCUAAAUAUAUACUCAGUGGGAAACAAGGUGAGAUUUCUUAAACAGCUAGGAUGUUGGCUUAGAAGCAGCCAUUCAUUUAAAGAGUGCGUAACAGCUCACUAGUCAAGAGAUCUUGCGUGGAAAAUGUAACGGGGCUAAAGUAUAUUACCGAAGACAUGGAUGUCACAUUUAUGUGGCGUGGUAGAGGAGCGUUCCUAUCUGCAGUGAAGUUCAACUGGAAAGUUGGGUGGAGCGUUAGGAAGUGAGAAUGCUGGAAUGAGUAACCAUAAGACAUGUGAGAAUCAUGUCGGCCGUAAGAGCAAGGUUUCCUGAGCCAUGGUAAUCAUCUCAGGGUUAGUCGGGCCUAAGCCGAGGCGCAUAGCGUAGGCGAUGGACAUCAGGUUAAUAUUCCUGAACCGGUUAUUAUUUGCACACUGUUCACGGUGAGAUAGUCGAAGCGGAUUCAUGGUAUGUAUCCGUCCAACCUAGCGGGAACGCGAAGGGAGUGAAAGUGAGUCUUCGGACUGACGAUUUUGGCGAAAGCGCUGGCAAGAAAAGCAGAUGUGCGCGUGAUAAUAGCCGCCCGUACCGCAAACCAACACAGGUGCUCGAGUCGAGUAGACUCAGGCUUACGAGAGAACCUUCGCUAAGGAACUCGGCAAUACAGCGACCGUAACUUCGGGAUAAGGUCUGCCCCCACAUCUUUGGAUGUGAGCCGUGUUCAAAAUAUCAGUAGAUAUAUUAGUGAUAGGUGGUUAAAAAACCUACAACUUGCCUUAUUUGUACCUUCGGGUAUAAAUAACGCAUUUUGUAGUAGUGAGUACGUUUCUGUUCGGCAAUGAACCAGAAAUGUUAAAUCCUUUUUGAACACAAAUUUUUUACUGAGAUAGACAAUAUGAUUAGCCGUACCUUUUUUAGGUGUAUGGCGACAAAUUGGAUUUUUUGAGCACGACCUCUCAUGUCUUAAGAUGUGGGGGCCGCAGCAAAAGAGCCCACGGAACUGUUUACCAAAAACACAGGUCUCUGCGAACACGAAAGUGGAUGUAUAGGGGCUGACUCCUGCCCAGUGCUGGAAGGUUAAGGCGAGUGCUUUACGGUGCGAACUGAAGCCCCAGUGAACGGCGGCGGUAACUAUAACCGUCCUAAGGUAGCGAAAUUCCUUGUCAGGUAAGUUCUGACCCGCACGAAUGGAGUAAUCAUGUGGGCACUGUCUCAGCGAAGGACUCGGUGAAAGUGCAUUGGCGGUAAAGAUGCCGUCUGUCCGUACCAGGACGAGAAGACCCCAUGGAGCUUUACUACAGUUUUACAUUGUUCCGGGUUACAACAUGUGUAGCAUAGGUGGGAGACUUUGAAGCGGAUACGCUAGUAUUUGUGGAGUCGUAAUGUGAAAUACCACCCUUGUUGUGAUCUUGAUCUAACUGAUACCGUUAUCCGGUAUCGGGACCGUGUAUGAUGGGUAGUUUAACUGGGGCGGUUGCCUCCUAAAGAGUAGCGGAGGCGUUCAAAGGUUGGCUAGCUUCGGAUGGAAAUCGAAGUGAUAGUGUAUGCGCACAAGCCAGCUUGACUGUGAGGGGUACAUCCCAAGCAGAGACGAAAGUCGGAGCAAGUGAACCGCUGUACGUACAAUUUUGUACAUAUAUGUGGGAAUGACAGCGAAUACGGAUAAAAGUUACCCUGGGGAUAACAGGCUUAUAGCGCCCAAUAGUUCACAUAGACGGCGCUGUUUGGCACCUCGAUGUCGGCUCAUCACAUCCUGGAGGGGGAGCACCUUCCAAGGGUUCGGCUGUUCGCCGAUUAAAGUGGUACGCGAGCUGGGUUCAGAACGUCGUGAGACAGUUCGGUUUAUAUCCGGUACGGACGUUAGGAAAUUUGAGAAGAUCUGCCCUUAGUACGAGAGGACCGGGGUGGACGAACCUCUGGUGUAUCGAUUGUGGCCACCUGCUGCAUUGUCGAGUAGCUAUGUUCGGAAUAGAUAAGCGCUGAAAGCAUAUUAAGCGCGAAACUAACUUCAAGAUGAGAUUUCCCUAUGAGGACACAGAAAGAAUAUCUGUUUGAUAGGUGCAAGGUAGAAGCGCAGUAAUGCGUGCAGCUAAAGCAUACUAAUAGUCCCAUCGCCUUUUUAU